AUUGAACGCUGGCGGCAUGCCUAACACAUGCAAGUCGAACGCGAAAGUCCUUCGGGGCGAGUAGAGUGGCGGACGGGUGAGUAAUGCGUGGGAAUCUGCCCUGCAGUGGGGGACAACCCGGGGAAACUCGGGCUAAUACCGCAUACGUCCUAUGGGGGAAAGGGGGCCUUCGGGCUCUCGCUGCAGGAUGAGCCCACGUCCGAUUAGCUAGUUGGUGGGGUAAAGGCCUACCAAGGCGACGAUCGGUAGCUGGUCUGAGAGGAUGACCAGCCACACUGGGACUGAGACACGGCCCAGACUCCUACGGGAGGCAGCAGUGGGGAAUAUUGCACAAUGGGCGAAAGCCUGAUGCAGCAAUGCCGCGUGUGUGAAGAAGGCCUGCGGGUUGUAAAGCACUUUCAGUGGGGAAGAAAAGCCU
RNAcentral lists this ribosomal RNA (418 nucleotides) under uncultured bacterium. Its description in RNAcentral is "bacterial SSU rRNA". It matches the Rfam family "Bacterial small subunit ribosomal RNA", at positions 29 to 455 of the family's 1533-position model. The record is from RNAcentral.